UACGGCGGGUGCAAGCGUUGUUCGGAAUCCCUGGGCGUAAAGCGCGUGUAGGCGGCCUCGUAAGUCUGGUGUGAAAGCCCGGGGCUUCCCCCCGGAAGUGCACUGGAAACUGCGAGACUUGAGUACCGGAGAGGAGGGUGGAAUUCCUGGUGUAGCGGUGAAAUGCGUAGAUAUCAGGAGGAACACCGGUGGCGAAGGCGGCCCUCUGGACGGAUACUGACGCUGAGACGCGAAAGCGUGGGGAGCAAACAGG
RNAcentral lists this ribosomal RNA (253 nucleotides) under uncultured bacterium. RNAcentral's name for it is "partial 16S ribosomal RNA". It matches the Rfam family "Bacterial small subunit ribosomal RNA", at positions 524 to 776 of the family's 1533-position model. The record is from RNAcentral.